Long non-coding RNA from Lepidothrix coronata (blue-crowned manakin), 386 nucleotides. RefSeq lists it as uncharacterized. NCBI's taxonomy places the organism in Eukaryota, Metazoa, Chordata, Aves, Passeriformes, Pipridae. The record is from RefSeq and is a predicted model, not a curated record. The transcript is spliced from 2 exons.
GUGCUGUGAAAAAGAAUUGGUGGGUGGUGAGUGGCACUGGCAGACAAACUGAGGCUGCUGCUCUACAGUGAUCAAACAUCUUCCCAAACAGGAGGACCCAGAGAGCACCAAAGCUGGUACCAAGACAGAGCUGAGUGUCUGGGCAGGGAAGGGCUGGGUGGUGACAAUUCUCCACCUGUGGCCAAGGCUCUUGUGGGAGGGGAGCCAGCAAAACACCACCUUCAUUCUUCUGCACACAAGUUAUUUGCCAGUGUCCUGUUAGCUGUGAGGGGACAUUUGUAGAAGGUUUAUCCACCUGAAUGGGUCACUGAAGAUAUUGCCAGGGAUUUUUUUUUUUCCUGGUUUGCCCAGUCCACUGAAAAUGAGUCAUUUUUUAGUGGAGAUAA